CCUACGGGAGGCAGCAGUGGGGAAUAUUGGGCAAUGGACGCAAGUCUGACCCAGCAACGCCGCGUGAAGGAAGAAGGCUUUCGGGUUGUAAACUUCUUUUAAGGGGGAAGAGCAGAAGACGGUACCCCUUGAAUAAGCCACGGCUAACUACGUGCCAGCAGCCGCGGUAAUACGUAGGGGGCGAGCGUUAUCCGGAUUCACUGGGUGUAAAGGGAGCGUUGACGGCCGUGCAAGCCAGGAGUGAAAGCCCGGGGCCCAACCCCGGGACUGCUCUUGGAACUGUGCGGCUGGAGUGCGGGUGGGGCAGGCGGAAUUCCUGGUGUAGCGGUGAAAUGCGUAGAUAUCAGGAGGAACACCGGCGGCGAAGGCGGCCUGCUGGACCGCGACUGACGUUGAGGCUCGAAAGCGUGGGGAGCGAACAGGAUUAGAUACCCGGGUAGUC
RNAcentral lists this ribosomal RNA (442 nucleotides) under uncultured bacterium. RNAcentral's name for it is "partial 16S ribosomal RNA". It matches the Rfam family "Bacterial small subunit ribosomal RNA", at positions 338 to 795 of the family's 1533-position model. The record is from RNAcentral.